AACGAACGCUGGCGGCAGGCUUAACACAUGCAAGUCGAACGCACCUUUCGGGGUGAGUGGCAGACGGGUGAGUAACGCGUGGGAAUCUACCCUUCUCUACGGGAUAGCUCCGGGAAUCUGGAAUUAAUACCGUAUACGUCCUGAGGGAGAAAGAUUUAUCGGGGAAGGAUGAGCCCGCGUUGGAUUAGCUAGUUGGUGGGGUAAAGGCCUACCAAGGCGACGAUCCAUAGCUGGUCUAAGAGGAUGAUCAGCCACAUUGGGACUGAGACACGGCCCAAACUCCUACGGGAGGCAGCAGUGGGGAAUAUUGGACAAUGGGCGCAAGCCUGAUCCAGCCAUGCCGCGUGAGUGAUGAAGGCCCUAGGGUUGUAAAGCUCUUUCAGUGGGGACGAUAAUGACGGUACCCACAGAAGAAGCCCCGGCUAACUUCGUG
Molecule: ribosomal RNA, 433 nt
Filed under: uncultured bacterium
Lineage: Bacteria
Description: partial 16S ribosomal RNA
Rfam family: Bacterial small subunit ribosomal RNA
Source: RNAcentral